RNAcentral lists this ribosomal RNA (722 nucleotides) under uncultured bacterium. RNAcentral's name for it is "bacterial SSU rRNA". It matches the Rfam family "Bacterial small subunit ribosomal RNA", at positions 61 to 743 of the family's 1533-position model. The record is from RNAcentral.
GUCGAGCGAGCUUGCCUAGAUGAUUUUAGUGCUUGCACUAAAUGAAACUAGAUACAAGCGAGCGGCGGACGGGUGAGUAACACGUGGGUAACCUGCCCAAGAGACUGGGAUAACACCUGGAAACAGAUGCUAAUACCGGAUAACAACACUAGACGCAUGUCUAGAGUUUGAAAGAUGGUUCUGCUAUCACUCUUGGAUGGACCUGCGGUGCAUUAGCUAGUUGGUAAGGUAACGGCUUACCAAGGCAAUGAUGCAUAGCCGAGUUGAGAGACUGAUCGGCCACAUUGGGACUGAGACACGGCCCAAACUCCUACGGGAGGCAGCAGUAGGGAAUCUUCCACAAUGGACGAAAGUCUGAUGGAGCAACGCCGCGUGAGUGAAGAAGGGUUUCGGCUCGUAAAGCUCUGUUGGUGGUGAAGAAAGAUAGAGGUAGUAACUGGCCUUUAUUUGACGGUAAUUACUUAGAAAGUCACGGCUAACUACGUGCCAGCAGCCGCGGUAAUACGUAGGUGGCAAGCGUUGUCCGGAUUUAUUGGGCGUAAAGCGAGUGCAGGCGGUUCAAUAAGUCUGAUGUGAAAGCCUUCGGCUCAACCGGAGAAUUGCAUCAGAAACUGUUGAACUUGAGUGCAGAAGAGGAGAGUGGAACUCCAUGUGUAGCGGUGGAAUGCGUAGAUAUAUGGAAGAACACCAGUGGCGAAGGCGGCUCUCUGGUCUGCAACUGA